GUCUUUUUCUCCACAUUUAGUGCCACAUCAGGGGGUAUUCUAGACAGAGCUGUUGAAGCAGAGGAUAAGAAACAUGGAGAUAUUCUAAGACUGCAAGUUUCAGAAUAAUACUUAGGGGGGAAGUUGUGGAACAUCAAAAUAUCGCUAAUGAUCUCAAAUUUCAACAAUUUAUUGUGUAUAAACCUCAGAAUGCAGGAGCUGUUGAGGGUCAAAUUAUAAAAACUAUUGGGUUUCUUAACAACUUCUUUCUGUUGGAUGUAGUGUAUGUUGGGCAAUUUUUUUUUUACCCUUGUGGUUUUUCUGCUAUUCUUUUCUUUUUUAUUUCCUUCUUUCUUGCUUUACUUAUUUGUUAAAUCAGAGAUGCUAGGCAUAAUUGUAACUUUAUUUUUCUGAUAUGAGAAAGAAAAACAAAAUAAAAAUCAAUUCCAUAGUUUGCUAACUAAAUAAACAGAGUCAUUUGACUCUGUUUCUUUGCUGUUGGGAGCUGUUCUUUUAGUUUUGUUCAAGUUUCUAUUGUAAGUUUAUUAGGUAUAGAGUUUCUU
This is a long non-coding RNA of Humulus lupulus (European hop), 542 nucleotides long. RefSeq lists it as uncharacterized. NCBI's taxonomy places the organism in Eukaryota, Viridiplantae, Streptophyta, Magnoliopsida, Rosales, Cannabaceae. The record is from RefSeq and is a predicted model, not a curated record. The transcript is spliced from 3 exons.